UGAGUAACCUGCCCUUCACUCUGGGAUAACUCCGGGGAAACCGGGGCUAAUACUGGAUAUGACUCGAACAGGCAUCUGUUUCGGGUGGAAAGAUUUUAUUGGUGGAGGAUGGACUCGCGGCCUAUCAGCUUGUUGGUGAGGUAAUGGCUCACCAAGGCGACGGACGGGUAGCCGGCCUGAGAGGGCGAUCGGCCACAGUUGGAACUGAGACACGGUCCAGACUCCGUACGGGAGCAGC
RNAcentral lists this ribosomal RNA (238 nucleotides) under uncultured bacterium. RNAcentral describes it as "partial 16S ribosomal RNA". It matches the Rfam family "Bacterial small subunit ribosomal RNA", at positions 118 to 347 of the family's 1533-position model. The record is from RNAcentral.